UUGUUGGUGUAAUGCUAUGGAAUUGUCCUAUGGGAGUUGUUGACUAACCGAAUGCCAUUUGAAGGCAUGUCAAACUUGCAUGCUGCUUAUGCUGCUGCCUUUAAGGUG
Long non-coding RNA from Telopea speciosissima, 108 nucleotides. RefSeq lists it as uncharacterized. The transcript is spliced from 3 exons. The record is from RefSeq and is a predicted model, not a curated record. NCBI's taxonomy places the organism in Eukaryota, Viridiplantae, Streptophyta, Magnoliopsida, Proteales, Proteaceae.